Non-coding RNA from Ictidomys tridecemlineatus (thirteen-lined ground squirrel), 72 nucleotides. NCBI's taxonomy places the organism in Eukaryota, Metazoa, Chordata, Mammalia, Rodentia, Sciuridae. The record is from Rfam.
UGGGUUGUAGCUCAGAGGUAGAGUGCUCUCCUGACAUGCAUGAGGCACUGGGUUCAAUCCUCAGCAUCCCAU